Molecule: transfer RNA, 60 nt
Filed under: Penthicodes atomaria
Lineage: Eukaryota; Metazoa; Arthropoda; Insecta; Hemiptera; Fulgoridae
Description: tRNA-Val
Source: RNAcentral
CAGAUUUGGAUUUUACUUACUUACAAUAAGUAUUUUACUGUUCAAUUCAGUUGAAUCUGA